GUGGGGAAUAUUCCGCAAUGGGCGCAAGCCUGACGGAGCAACGCCGCGUGAAUGAAGACGGUCUUCGGAUUGUAAAGUUCUGUCAUUAGGGACGAAGGACUCAUGUAAAUAAUAUGAGGAAUGACGGUACCUAAGGAGGAAGCUCCGGCUAACUACGUGCCAGCAGCCGCGGUAAUACGUAGGGAGCAAGCGUUGUCCGGAAUUACUGGGCGUAAAGGGCGCGUAGGCGGAUAAUUAAGUCAGAUGUGAAAUCUCCAGGCUUAACUUGGAGCGUGCAUUUGAAACUGGUUAUCUUGAGGGCAGGAGAGGAAAGUGGAAUUCCUAGUGUAGCGGUGAAAUGCGUAGAUAUUAGGAGGAACACCAGUGGCGAAGGCGACUUUCUGGACGAUGUCUGACGCUGAGGCGCGAAAGCUAGGGGAGCGAACGGGAUUAGAAACCCCGGUAGUCC
This 448-nucleotide ribosomal RNA is filed under the name uncultured bacterium. Its description in RNAcentral is "partial 16S ribosomal RNA". It matches the Rfam family "Bacterial small subunit ribosomal RNA", at positions 354 to 796 of the family's 1533-position model. The record is from RNAcentral.